RNAcentral lists this long non-coding RNA (1150 nucleotides) under Coffea arabica (coffee). RNAcentral describes it as "long non-coding RNA (CARA_LNC002025)". Lineage: Eukaryota; Viridiplantae; Streptophyta; Magnoliopsida; Gentianales; Rubiaceae. The record is from RNAcentral.
AUAGGAGCAGCAAGAGAAGUUGUGGCCAACGACAAAGAAAGGCCACCUUGUUGUGGUUCUAAGCUAUUGUCAUGCACAUUGCUUACUGUUAAUGGAAGUAAAGACAUGGGACCUCCAUAAGACAAGGCCCAAAAAGCCUCUGUGGCCCGCAUUCUAUUUGCUACAUGCACUUGCCCAAGAACUUCAGCAGGCCUUCGAUGCAUGCCUGAGACAUUCAGGAACACUUCAACUAAGCAAAAGCAGUUGCACCAUUUUUCAAGCUAGAAGCAGAAAGUGAAUUGCAAAAAUAUCCACAACAACAUUAAAAAAAAAAACAAAAGAUUUUGAGGGCGAGAUAGCAGAUUUUAUAAGAAAAGAUAGAUACAUAAAAUUAUAAAACAACAAGAGCAACUCACAAUGCAUAUAUACAGGAAAAAGAAAAAUAACGAAAAAUAACAAUCAAGAAAACUGAUAAAAUCAGAAGUUUGUCUACAGAAAUUGAAGAAUAGGAACUCAGAGGCAUAUGUGCCUGGUGUGUUUGUGUGAACAUGUUUCAUACAGAAAUUUACUUCUUUGCAGGGAACUAGAAAUCAAAAAAAUUAUUUAAAAAGGGAUCUUGUUAACAUUUCCAUCCUCCAAAAGAUAGAAAAGCAUCCUAAAAAUUAGAAAUCAUAUGCACCAUCCUGCAACAGAAGAUGUCGUUGCAUUUAACAGUACAUCAUUAGAUAAGUAGAUGAAUUGCUUCUUGAAAGGAUAAAUAAGAGAAAGCAUAAAAUAAGUCCAUUUUAAUUUAGCUAUAGACUGCAUGACAAAAUCUCAAACCUGCUACAGCAGAGGGGGAAGCAUCUGGACAAUAGCGCCCAUUCAGUAAAUUAGGGUGAUAGAGGAGAUGAAGGGACCCAGCAAUUUCAGCAUCCAGAUUUGCAUAUUCUUCUGCCAUCUUUUGUACAUGGUCAUUUGCAGCUAGCCAUGGUAAACCAGCUCCAUUACCAAAACAAGGUAGCACAUCCCCUCCCCUAGAAGCCAAACGAAUCAUUUUCUCAGGCCCAAUAGGUUCCUUAAAGAUAUAUACAGGGCCCAUUUCAGCAAACAAAGGACAUUGACGACGACGCCGUUGUAAACCAGCCAUUGUUGGAGGUGGAUUAGUUCCAAUGCAGCAAAAUGCAAGUGG